CACAAGCGGUGGAUGAUGUGGAUUAAUUCGAUGCAACGCGAAGAACCUUACCUACCCUUGACAUGUCCGGAACUUGCCAGAGAUGGCUUGGUGCCCGAAAGGGAAUCGGAACACAGGUGCUGCAUGGCUGUCGUCAGCUCGUGUCGUGAGAUGUUGGGUUAAGUCCCGCAACGAGCGCAACCCUUAUCAUUAGUUGCUACGCAAGGGCACUCUAAUGAGACUGCCGGUGACAAACCGGAGGAAGGUGGGGAUGACGUCAAGUCCUCAUGGCCCUUAUGGGUAGGGCUUCACACGUCAUACAAUGGUCGGUACAGAGGGUUGCCAAGCCGCGAGGCGGAGCCAAUCCCACAAAGCCGAUCGUAGUCCGGAUUGUUCUCUGCAACUCGAGAGCAUGAAGUCGGAAUCGCUAGUAAUCGUGGAUCAGCAUGUCACGGUGAAUACGUUCCCGGGUCUU
RNAcentral lists this ribosomal RNA (454 nucleotides) under uncultured Thiobacillus sp. Its description in RNAcentral is "bacterial SSU rRNA". It matches the Rfam family "Bacterial small subunit ribosomal RNA", at positions 924 to 1382 of the family's 1533-position model. The record is from RNAcentral. Lineage: Bacteria; Pseudomonadati; Pseudomonadota; Betaproteobacteria; Nitrosomonadales; Thiobacillaceae.